RNAcentral lists this ribosomal RNA (253 nucleotides) under uncultured bacterium. RNAcentral describes it as "partial 16S ribosomal RNA". It matches the Rfam family "Bacterial small subunit ribosomal RNA", at positions 524 to 776 of the family's 1533-position model. The record is from RNAcentral.
UACGAAGGGGGCUAGCGUUGCUCGGAAUCACUGGGCGUAAAGCGCACGUAGGCGGCUUUUUAAGACAGGCGUGAAAUCCCCGGGCUUAACCUGGGAACUGCGUUUGUGACUGGAAGGCUAGAGUAUGGCAGAGGGGGGUGGAAUUCCACGUGUAGCAGUGAAAUGCGUAGAUAUGCGGAGGAACACCGAUGGCGAAGGCAAUCCCCUGGGCCUGCACUGACGCUCAUGCACGAAAGCGUGGGGAGCAAACAGG